GUGUUUGCCUUAAGAAAAGAUGCCUGCAAAGGCUUAAUUGGGAAUCUGGUGAAAUCCAGAACUGCCCCCGCAACUGUAAAUGCUGACGAAAUGGACAAGCCACUGAAUAAUAAAGCUAACGAAAAGGCGAUUAUUCGGGAAGGGUUCAAAGUAGGACGAAGCAUGAGUCAGGAGACCUGUCUUUCUUAAGUAGUUUCA
RNAcentral lists this non-coding RNA (198 nucleotides) under Bacillus sp. (in: firmicutes). The record is from RNAcentral. Lineage: Bacteria; Bacillati; Bacillota; Bacilli; Caryophanales; Bacillaceae.